This is a long non-coding RNA of Brassica oleracea var. oleracea, 981 nucleotides long. RefSeq lists it as uncharacterized. The record is from RefSeq and is a predicted model, not a curated record. The transcript has 3 exons. NCBI's taxonomy places the organism in Eukaryota, Viridiplantae, Streptophyta, Magnoliopsida, Brassicales, Brassicaceae.
CUCACUGAACCAACCUCAUAUCUUAACCUUUUUGGAGUUCUGUGUGAUCAUGAUUUUGUGGUUUCUUUCUCACAGGUUAGCACAUUGGGGUACUUUGCAUCACAUUACCGUGUUAUGAGGAGGAAGCUUGACGAGAUUUAUGACUUGGUAACUGCUUUGAUUUUUAGGGGGUUUCAGAGGCUUACAGAAGAAACCGGUAAGGAAGAAAAUUUUAAAGUAGAAGUAUGUUUAUCAAAUGAUUUCAUUGGUUUGGAUUUCAUUAUCUAUAGUGUAUAGUCCCGGGAAUAAACUACACAUUCUUUUGUGGGUUUGGUGAGAUGUGAAAAUUAUGAGUGGAGCUCAAGUUUCGGCCGUACGAUGCUCUCUUAAUUUUCUAUACUUUUGUACUUCUUCUAUGUAUCAACAUGCACUUAGAAUUCACGUGUUGCAUGGAGUUAUGCCAGAUGAUGUUUCUCGGUAACUCAAUUUUGCUGACCACUAUUCAGCUUUUGGCUUAAUUGAUAUGGUAUGUACUCUCACAUAGUAAUUUGUGCUUCCCCUGAGCUAUAAACCAUACAAGAGUAUGUUGCCAGCAAUCCAGUUACUUGCGGCUGGAGGUGCAAUGUAUGUGGAAGUUUUCAAUAGAGUGAUUCAAUUGGCUUACAACAUCAUAAAGAGGAAUAAAGUCGGAGAAACUAACACUUACUUGGAUGGAACCUACUAUUGUUUCACUUAACCAAACUUGAAUCCAUUACUCCAGUAGAGACUGCUCUACUUCCCGUAACGACGUUAUCCGAGAAUUAGCAUAGUUUAAUAAGUAUAAAAUUGUUUUUGUUAUAGCUGGAUGAGUUAGAUGCAACGAUUUUUGAAUUGUGACUUUAUCAUUAUGCACAUGUUACAUUUCCUUUCUUCUUCUUUUUUGACUAAUGCAUGUCAUAUUUCUUGAGUCAUGAGAUUCUCUGUUUCUUUGAGGUUUAUUUCUCUGUAAGAUUCAACAAAACU